AGGGGUUUUGGAUCCUGGGCUCAGAGCGAACGCUGGCGGCGUGCUUAACACAUGCAAGUCGAGCGAAGAUGUUUCGGGGGUAACCUUGGGAUAUACUGAGCGGCGAACGGGUGAGUAAUGCGUGGAUAACUUGCCUUUAGGACUGGGAUAACCCCGGGAAACUGGGACUAAUACCAGAUAAGACCACGGUGUUUAAGGACACAGGGGUAAAAGGUGGCUAGGCAACUAGCUAUCACCUAUAGAGAGGUUCACGUCCCAUCAGGCUGUUGGUGAGGUAAUGGCUCACCAAACCUAAGACGGGUAGCCGGCCUUGGCGGGUGAACGGCCACACGGGGACUGAGACACGGCCCCGACUCCUACGGGAGGCAGCAGUGGGGAAUAUUGGGCAAUGGGCGAAAGCCUGACCCAGCGACGCCGCGUUGGGGAAGAAGGCCUUCGGGUUGUAAACCCAUGUCAGGAGGAACGAUGGAUCUGUGGGCUAAUAUCUCACAGAUUUGACGGUACCUCCAGAGGAAGCCCCGGCUAACUCCGUGCCAGCAGCCGCGGUAAUACGGAGGGGGCUAGCGUUGCUCGGAAUUACUAGGCGCAAAGGGUCCGCAGAUGGCUUC
This 608-nucleotide ribosomal RNA is filed under the name uncultured bacterium. RNAcentral describes it as "bacterial SSU rRNA". It matches the Rfam family "Bacterial small subunit ribosomal RNA", at positions 9 to 582 of the family's 1533-position model. The record is from RNAcentral.